GCAGAACGCGAAGAACCUUACCAGGGCUUGAAAUCCCGAGAAGGCUCUCGAAAGAGAGCUGUGCCUUUUGGAACUCGGUGACAGGUGCUGCAUGGCCGUCGUCAGCUCGUGUCGUGAGAUGUUGGGUUAAGUCCCGCAACGAGCGCAACCCCUAUGUUUAGUUGUAUUUUUCUAGGCAGACUGCCUCGGUAACGGGGAGGAAGGAGGGGACGACGUCUGGUCUUUAUUGCCCUUAUGUCCUGGGCUAGAAACGCGCUACAAUGGUCGGUACAAUGGGUAACAGCCAAAAUCGCGAGAUGGAGCAAAAUCCCACCAAAGCCGAUCUCAGUUCGGAUAAGAGGCUGAAACUCGCCUCUUUGAAGUCGGAAUCGCUAGUAACCGUAGGUCAGCACACCACGGUGAAUCCGUUCCCGGGUCUGUA
RNAcentral lists this ribosomal RNA (421 nucleotides) under uncultured bacterium. Its description in RNAcentral is "bacterial SSU rRNA". It matches the Rfam family "Bacterial small subunit ribosomal RNA", at positions 954 to 1381 of the family's 1533-position model. The record is from RNAcentral.